RNAcentral lists this unclassified non-coding RNA (433 nucleotides) under soil metagenome. Its description in RNAcentral is "partial contains 5.8S ribosomal RNA, internal transcribed spacer 2, and large subunit ribosomal RNA". The stretch from base 1 to 120 matches the Rfam family "5.8S ribosomal RNA", at positions 35 to 154 of the family's 154-position model. The record is from RNAcentral.
GAUGAAGAACGCAGCGAAAUGCGAUACGUAAUGUGAAUUGCAGAAUUCAGAGAAUCAUCGAAUCUUUGAACGCAUAUUGCGCUCUCUGGUAUUCCGGAGAGCAUGCUUGUUUGAGUAUCAGUAAACACCUCAACUUCCAUAUCUUUUUUGAAAUGGGAGUUGGACUUGAGUGAUCCCAACGCUUUUCCUCACCGAAAAGUGGCGGGUUACUUGAAAUGCAGGUGCAGCUGGACUUUUCUCUGAGCUAUAAGCAUAUCUAUUUAGUCUGCCUAAAAAACAGAUUAUUACCUUUGCUGCAGCUAACAUAAAGGAGAUUAGUUCUUGUGCUGACUGAUGCAGGAUUCACAAAGACAGGCUUCGGCCGACUUUGUAAACUCGAUCUCAAAUCAAGUAAGACUACCCGCUGAACUUAAGCAUAUCAAUAAGCGGAGGA